Molecule: long non-coding RNA, 264 nt
Organism: Scatophagus argus
Lineage: Eukaryota; Metazoa; Chordata; Actinopteri; Scatophagidae
Exons: 3
Source: RefSeq, a predicted model, not a curated record
GUUGCCUCAUAUCUAUACAAGCUAACAUUCCAGAUCAUUAAUACAGAUAAGUUUUUAAAUCUGAAAGAUAGCAUCAAACUAAAAUCCUGUUUAAAGCUGAUCCACUGCAGAAUGACGUAUGUGCAAAGUCUGACACUACGAGGCUGUUUUCACAGUCACUGCUGAAAGUGAAGGAAACGACAAGAGGGAGGAAGGAGAGAAAACACAGAAUAGACUGGAGAAAUCCCUCAGGAGCUCCCUCACAACUCUGCAACUUUACACGUC